UGGGAAUUUUGGACAAUGGGCGCAAGCCUGAUCCAGCCAUCGCCGCGUGCGGGAAGAAGGCCUUCGGGUUGUAAACCGCUUUUGUCAGGGAAGAAAUCUUCUGAGUUAAUACCUCGGGAGGAUGACGGUACCUGAAGAAUAAGCACCGGCUAACUACGUGCCAGCAGCCGCGGUAAUACGUAGGGUGCAAGCGUUAAUCGGAAUUACUGGGCGUAAAGCGUGCGCAGGCGGUUUUGUAAGACAGAGGUGAAAUCCCCGGGCUCAACCUGGGAACUGCCUUUGUGACUGCAAGGCUUGAGUGCGGCAGAGGGGGGAUGGAAUUCCGCGUGUAGCAGUGAAAUGCGUAGAUAUGCGGAGGAACACCGAUGGCGAAGGCAAUCCCCUGGGCCUGCACUGACGCUCANGCACGAAAGCGUGGGGAGCAAACAGGAUUAGAUACCCUGGUAGUCCACGCCCUAAACGAUGUCAACUGGUUGUUGGGAAGGUUCCUUCUCAGUAACGUAGCUAACGCGUGAAGUUGACCGCCUGGGGAGUACGGCCGCAAGGUUGAAACUCAAAUGG
Molecule: ribosomal RNA, 561 nt
Filed under: uncultured bacterium
Lineage: Bacteria
Description: partial 16S ribosomal RNA
Rfam family: Bacterial small subunit ribosomal RNA
Source: RNAcentral